Corvus hawaiiensis (hawaiian crow) is the source of this 327-nucleotide long non-coding RNA. RefSeq lists it as uncharacterized. NCBI's taxonomy places the organism in Eukaryota, Metazoa, Chordata, Aves, Passeriformes, Corvidae. The record is from RefSeq and is a predicted model, not a curated record. The transcript has 3 exons.
GGGAGGAUUUUGGGCCGGGGCAGUACAUGGUGGGGGGGGCUCUGGGGAGGCUCUGUGGGCUUUGGGAUGUUCCUGGGGGAUUUCUGGGUUAACUGGGGGGCUCGGGAGGAGUCCCGGGGGCCAGUUGGGGGGUCAGCACCCCCACAUCCCUCAUCUUCCCCCCCCAGUGACGCGACGCAGCUCCAAGCGCUUGGUGGUCUCGGCCCCCCGGGGCGGCCCCCCCUGGGCACCCCCGUCCCGCAGCCCCCUGGGCAGCCCCGACUUUGACCGACCCCGACGGAGCCCUCGGCUCCAGAGCCAGAAGGAGAACGACCCCUCCCUUCCCCA